RNAcentral lists this long non-coding RNA (221 nucleotides) under Gallus gallus (chicken). Lineage: Eukaryota; Metazoa; Chordata; Aves; Galliformes; Phasianidae. The record is from RNAcentral.
CUUGGAGGUAGCUCAGCACCAGGAUGGUUCUUCAGGAUAUGUGCUUUGCGUUUGCUGGCACUCUUGUACACCUUAUCACAGUACUGACAGAAAUAAUCUCUGUUGGGUUUGAUGAUGGGCAACGUGAGCUCUGGCACCUCUUCUAUUUUCAUGUCUGGAUGUCUCUUUGAUAGAUGAUUCACCAACAUCCCCCUCCGGCGGAAGCCCAUCAUGCACAGUCG